This is a long non-coding RNA of Lagopus muta (rock ptarmigan), 4159 nucleotides long. RefSeq lists it as uncharacterized. The transcript is spliced from 9 exons. The record is from RefSeq and is a predicted model, not a curated record. Lineage: Eukaryota; Metazoa; Chordata; Aves; Galliformes; Phasianidae.
ACUGCCUCCUUGGAAGUAUUGGGAGUGAGUUCUGCCCUUUGGAAUGGGGUCUGUCAGCAGAAGGAGCAGCAACUGCACCUGGAGAUUGCUUCCUUUAGAGCGUGGGGUGAACCCUUGAAACUGGGACUGUGACCUUUCCUGUUUUUGGGGCAUCCUGACCACAUUGAAGUGCUGGCAGAUGUAAGGGCAGCAUUGAUCUCUGGAGACUGUCUCCUGUGGAGCAGGGGGCUGUUAUGCACUGCUUCCAACCAUGCAGAGUUGUUUAAGGGCGUUCUGUGCACCCUUAGGUGUAAUAAAUCUUCGUCUUUAUAGAAAGCCAAGGAUUGUCCUCUUCUGGACUGCUGUACUCAGUAUCACCCCAGUGUGAUGAAGUGAAGCCCCUGCUCUGCUGAAUACUGGGACUGGCCCAGAGAGGCUCUGAUGGAUGUGGAUUAUCCUAGCCAGAGUACUUGGUACCAUUGGUGGUGAUCUCGUCCAACUGCCACACAAUGAACAGGAACAUCCACAGCCAGAUCUGGCUGCCCAGAGGCUGACCCAGCCUCACCUUGGAAGGGACGGGGCAUCCAUCACAUGUCUGGGGACUUCACCUGACUGCCUCGACUUCUCAAAUACCACUGAGAGUGGCUCGGUGACUGCAGCGGUGAAUUCCCUCAGGGCUCUGGGACUCGUCUCAUCAGGACCCAAAGACUCCUGGAUGUCAGGUUCUCAGGUGGCUGCGGAGUUGCAGCGCUCCCGAGUGCCGUAACGACUGCAUGGAGAUGCGUGGCUCUUCAUGGGAACAGCAAGGAACCGGAAUCUGCAUUUCCUGGAAUGCCCCAGAGCCUCGCUUUGCUGGCUGGUAAUUGUCUGCCCAGCAGGUGGCAGCAGAGCUGCGUUGCUCCUGAGCACUUUAAGGACAGCACGGAGAUGCGCGGCUCUUCAUGGCAGCAGCAGAAACUGGAAUCUGCAUUUCCUGGAAUGCCCCGGAACCUCGCUUUGCUGGCCGGUAAUUGUCUGCCCAGCAGGUGAAGAUGCCUUCGAUGCUUCCAGUUGAUGGCUUCCCCCCUGCGAUGCCAUCGUCUUUCCAGUCCUCCCGCACUCACCGCCUGCUCGGUUCAGUCCAGCUGUUACCUGAAUCCCUGCUCCAUUCCCUUUCCUGAGUGCUGUAAGGACAGCAUGGAGAUGUGCGGCUCUUCAUGGCAGCAGCAGGAACCGGAAUCUGCAUUUCCUGGAACGCCCUGGAACCCCACUUUGCUGCCUGGUAAUUGUCUGCCCAGCAGGUGAAGAUGCCUUCGAUGCUUCCAGUCGAUGACUUCCCCCCUGCGAUGCCAUUGGCUUUCCUGGCCUCCCACAGUCACCGCCAGCUCAGUUCAGUUGAGCUGUUACCCGAAUCCCCACUCCGUUCCCUUUCCAUGAUUUCCAUGAUCUUCCUGUCACUCUGCCACAAGCCCCCACCAAGGUCAUCGCAGGCAACGUGUGGGAUGCAGCACUCGGUCUCAUUACAGUUCAUCCCAUCAGCUUCAGCCCAGCGAUCCAACCCACCCGCACCCUUCCUGAGGGCCCUUCUGCUCCCAGGCCAAUCAACGCUUCCUUCUGAUGCCAUCUGCAUUCCUUCCUGGCCACUUUCAGACUCGUGCCCCUUUGUGGCCAUUUUGAGAGUUGCGCUGAUUUCAGCGUCUGCAUUCAAUUGACUUCAACCAAAUUGGCUUUAGCUUUACAUUCAAUUAAUGUAAACCAAAUUGGCUUUAGUUUUACAUUCACUUAAUGUAAACCAAAUUGGCAUUAGUUUUACAUUCACUUAAUGUAAACCAAAUUGGCUUUAGUUUUACAUCCAAAUUAUGUAAACCAAAUUGGCUUUAAGUUUGCCUUGCUUACGGGGUUGGGUUAGCUUUGCUUUGUUUGUUCUAGCGCAGGGCUAACCCAACCCCGUAACCAAGGGCCGGCGGAGGCGAUUUUGUUCCUUCCCGGCCAGUCUGAGACUUGCGCCCCCUUGUGGCCAUUUGAUGAUCUGUGCUGAUUUCAGCAUCUGCAUUCAAUUAAUCUCAACCAAAUUGGCUUUAGCCUUGCAGUCAUUUUGCAUCAACCAAAUUGGCUUUGGUUUUGCAUUCAACUUAUUUCAACCAAAUUGGCUUUAGUUUUACAUUCACUUGACUUCAAUCAAAUUGGCUUUAGCUUUACACUCAAUUAUUGUAAACCAAAUUGGCUUUAGUUUUACAUCCAAAUUAUGUAAACCAAAUUGGCUUUAAGUUUGCCUUGCUUACGGGGUUGGGUUAGCUUUGCUUUGUUUGUUCUAGCGCAGGGCUAACCCAACCCCGUAACCAAGGGCCGGCGGAGGCGAUUUUGUUCCUUCCCGGCCAGUCUGAGACUUGCGCCCCCUUGUGGCCAUUUGAUGAUCUGUGCUGAUUUCAGCGUCUGCAUUCAAUUAAUCUCAACCAAAUUGGCUUUAGCCUUGCAGUCAUUUUGCAUCAACCAAAUUGGCUUUGGUUUUGCAUUCAACUUAUUUCAACCAAAUUGGCUUUAGUUUUACAUUCACUUGACUUCAAUCAAAUUGGCUUUAGCUUUACACUCAAUUAUUGUAAACCAAAUUGGCUUUAGUUUUACAUCCAAAUUAUGUAAACCAAAUUGGCUUUAAGUUUGCCUUGCUUACGGGGUUGGGUUAGCUUUGCUUUGUUUGUUCUAGCGCAGGGCUAACCCAACCCCGUAACCAAGGGCCGGCGGAGGCGAUUUUGUUCCUUCCCGGCCAGUCUGAGACUUGCGCCCCCUUGUGGCCAUUUGAUGAUCUGUGCUGAUUUCAGCGUCUGCAUUCAAUUAAUCUCAACCAAAUUGGCUUUAGCCUUGCAGUCAUUUUGCAUCAACCAAAUUGGCUUUGGUUUUGCAUUCAACUUAUUUCAACCAAAUUGGCUUUAGUUUUACAUUCACUUGACUUCAAUCAAAUUGGCUUUAGCUUUACACUCAAUUAUUGUAAACCAAAUUGGCUUUAGUUUUACAUCCAAAUUAUGUAAACCAAAUUGGCUUUAAGUUUGCCUUGCUUACGGGGUUGGGUUAGCUUUGCUUUGUUUGUUCUAGCGCAGGGCUAACCCAACCCCGUAACCAAGGGCCGGCGGAGGCGAUUUUGUUCCUUCCCGGCCAGUCUGAGACUUGCGCCCCCUUGUGGCCAUUUGAUGAUCUGUGCUGAUUUCAGCGUCUGCAUUCAAUUAAUCUCAACCAAAUUGGCUUUAGCCUUGCAGUCAUUUUGCAUCAACCAAAUUGGCUUUGGCUUUGCAUUCAACUUAUUUCAACCAAAUUGGCUUUAGUUUUACAUUCACUUGACUUCAAUCAAAUUGGCUUUAGCUUUACACUCAAUUAUUGUAAACCAAAUUGGCUUUAGUUUUACAUCCAAAUUAUGUAAACCAAAUUGGCUUUAAGUUUGCCUUGCUUACGGGGUUGGGUUAGCUUUGCUUUGUUUGUUCUAGCGCAGGGCUAACCCAACCCCGUAACCAAGGGCCGGCGGAGGCGAUUUUGUUCCUUCCCGGCCAGUCUGAGACUCGCGCCCCCUUGUGGCCAUUUGAAGAGUUGCGCUGAUUUCAGCGUCUGCAUUCAAUUAAUCUCAACCAAAUUUGGCUUUAGCCUUGCAGUCAUUUUGCAUCAACCAAAUUGGCUUUGGCUUUGCAUUCAACUUAAUUCAACCAAAUUGGCUUUAGUUUUACAUCCAAUUAACGUAAACCAAAUUGGCUUUAGCAUUGCCUUGCUUACGGGGUUGGGUUAGCUUUGCUUUGUUUGUUCCUAGGCAGGGCUAACCCAACCCCGUAACCAAGGGCCGGCGGAGGCGAUUUUGUUCCUCCCGGCCAGUCUGAGACUCGCGCCCCUUUGUGGCCGUUCUGAGAAUUGCAAUGUCUUUGGAUGGGCUGAGAUCUGCACUGCUUUUGAGGUGGGUUCUCACAAAUGCGGUGUCACUAAUGGGGUAUGGUGUGUUUGUACUCUUUCUCUGGUUGGUCUGAUGUCUAUGUGAACCAUGUGUUACAGCUGUACUGCAUAUGUGUGUGCUGCGCCUGUAAAUUGCGUCGUGCCAUGUACGCAAUAUGUGUUAUGUUGCGCCUGUAAACUGUGUUGUGCCAUGUACAGAAUGUGUGGAUGCUGUGCCUAUAAACUAUGUUUGGGAAUCACAGACCCCUAUUCAUUACAUGUUCUGCUUCUCAAUGCA